AUACGGAGGGUGCAAGCGUUACUCGGAAUCACUGGGCGUAAAGCGCGCGCAGGCGGCCAUUUAAGUUGGAUGUGAAAGCCUACGGCUCAACCGUAGAACUGCAUCCAAAACUAUUUGGCUAGAGUGUGGGAGAGGAAGAUGGAAUUAGUUGUGUAGGGGUAAAAUCCGUAGAGAUAACUAGGAAUACCAAAAGCGAAGGCAAUCUUCUGGAACAUUACUGACGCUGAGGCGCGAAAGCGUGGGGAGCAAACAGGAAUAGAAACCCUAGUAGUCC
This 274-nucleotide ribosomal RNA is filed under the name uncultured bacterium. RNAcentral describes it as "partial 16S ribosomal RNA". It matches the Rfam family "Bacterial small subunit ribosomal RNA", at positions 523 to 796 of the family's 1533-position model. The record is from RNAcentral.